UUGCGGUCCUUACUGAUCUGUUGGCGCAACAGACGGCAGCGGCGCAGCGACAGGCUGAGGUGGCUCAGCGGCAGGAGGCGCGGAUGAAGCAUCUUGAGGACCUCCUACUUCAGCAGGCGGCAGCUUCGAGGUAGACCCAGGUUCCCACACCGCCAGCACCCGUGGUGGACGUCGCGCGGAGGGCACAGCCCCCCGCGCCCAGUUCUUCACGUGCGGCACAGGCGACCACACCUCGUGAGGAGGUGGCUGCGGCACCCCCAGUUCAGAGACCGGCCACGGGGCAGCUUUCCCCGUGAGGGCCGAAGGAGCCGAGCGGGAUCGGCUCGUGGAUCUCCAAAGUGAGUUCAGGAGGUGCAGUCCAAGGACGUUUGAUGGCGAGAACGUCGACCACUGGAUUGUUGAGAAGUGGUUGAUGCACAUGGAGAAGCUUUUUCGAGACACCUUUGUGGAGGAGCGGGACAGAGUUUGGGUCGCCACUCACUUUCUCGAUGGCGUGGCCUACCGUUGGUGGUUGGAUAUCCAGGACAACCCCAACACCGACUUGGCAGCAAUUACUUGGACGAGGUUCAAGGAGCUCCUUCUGGCGCACUGGACGCACUGGACCUUUGAAAUCAAGGUUCGAGUGUUUGGGUUAUUUCGAGCUUUUCCACACUUGGUGGAGGUUGUAGAAUUCUUCACCUAAAAAAGUUCCGACAAAUGCGGGAUUCUGGACGAAGUCCUGAGAAGUUUUCACUCUCGGGACUCGUCCUGGAAGAGACCUGUCCCGCCCCAGUGAGCAGUGUUGAGGCCGGCCGAGCAAACCGGUCCUCUGACAGGCCGAGACCGGUCCCCGAGCAGCUCUCGCAGUGAGAGACCCGUCCCGCGUAGGAGAGACCGGUUCCCGAACGUAGUUUCGGAUUCGCAGGCGAGAGACGGUCCGCCUGCUGGGGAGAGACCGUCCCUCUGGGCGAAAACUGCCAACAACCGGGCUGUUGCAAAUUAAUGGAUUUUUGAGGGGCCUCACUGGAUUUUGUUACAUUAGAUGGGCUUUUAGCCAUUUCCUCCUCUUCCCUCUCUCAUUCUCUCAUUCUCACCCUCUCCCUACAUUUUCUAGAGAGAGAAGAAGAAGAAGAAAAAGGAGGAGAAGAAGAAGAGGAGCUACUCUGAGCGGAGCUUGGAGCUCAACCCCUUUCUCUCUUUCCCACCUUUGCAAGGCUUGAGGCUUGCUUGUAGAGCUUAGUGGUGGACAAACUUCAACCCUAGGGUAUUUUGGGCUUGGUUGAAGCUUCCAAAGGGUUAGUUCAUGUUUCCCUCCUCGAGAUUCUAUUUUUGUGAUUUUGGGAGAUGAAGCCCUAGAAAUGAGAUUUAGGGCUUAUUUUGGCUUUUUGAUCUAGGCUUUGCCAAAUCGAUUGCUUAGAACUUCCUAGGGCUGGAUGGAAGGGUUCUAGCUGCUCUCUGGAGCUUUGGAGAGAUUUCUACUCUUGAGCUAAAUUUUGGCCCUUUUUGCUCUAGGUUUAAUUUUUAAUCUCUCGAUGGUCGUAAUGCCCUCGAUCUCUUCGCUGAUUACUUUUAGGGUAUUGUGAGACUCGUGCGACACUCCGUUCGUGAUUCGAAGGACACGCGACGGUUCGGUGGUUUGACCUAGCUUAUCAUGAGAACAUACUCAUAUAUGAUGAAAUGGGUUUCGUAAAUUGAAAAACAUCGCUCAUGUAGAAUAUAGUUUAUUGUGAAUUUUAGGAUGUUUAAGAUGCCUAGUUAUGUGUAAGGAAAUUUCGGACCCCUAUAUAGUAGAGAACUAGCAUGUGUACUUGCAGCAUAUUUGCAUCCUUUUAGACUGGAAUCAUAAACUCCUAUUUGUGAAAAUGAGCACCUCUUGCAUGCAUUUAGGGACUAUCCUAUUUGAACUUGAAGGUUCUGGUAGCGCAUAAAGAGGCUCGGGGACUUGUGUUAUUGGGAAUAGUUGGCCUAAUGUCAUGAAGGGGCAUUGAGCUCGGUCAUGUGUAAACCUAUGGGAUAGUGCCAUUGAAAGAGUUAGAUAUACUUGUUCAUUAAAAUGUCUAAGUGUCAUAAAGGGGCACAAACUUUUAGUAUAUUGGGACUCAUUGUGAAUUAAACUAGAUCUUGCGGAUGCAAGUGACAUACCAUGUUAGAGACAUGAGGAUUGGAUAUUGAGACGACUACGCUUGCUUGCAUUUUGCUCAUCUGCACAUGCUUGUGAGGGUCGCUCCUACAAGCCGGCACUCCGGAGUUAGCCUACGCGACUACGGUUCGCGUCGUGCGGUAUUGAGAAGCCUACGGGGUCGAGUGGGACAGACACAUUCCAAGAGUAGGAAUGUCGGGCUACCACAGGCACUUAGGCGGCACAAGCUGGACUACCUUGGGUGGGUUCUUAAUUGGAAAUGGGAAUCGACACAGUGUUGAGAAUGAAUAAUCACUACUAGAUAGGUUUAGUAGUUGGAUUACUUUGACAUGCUCAUGAUAUAGCAUUGGUACAUAUAGCACGCUUGCCGGUUUCAUUGUUGCAUUGUAGUAUACUCGGUUGCUUGGUUAGAGCUUACUCUUUAUGCAUUGGACAUAUUAUCUUAUGAUAGCGUAGAUAUACAUCACCAUGACAUCAUGUUUACUUGAGAUAUAGCGGUUAGCUCUUCAAAUAUUCUUUCGUAUUGUUGUUGCUAUUACUCUUAUUAUUGCUUAUAGUACUUACCCUUUUCUCUUGGGGCCUAGUGGUGCAUAGAGCUGAGGUCAGUAAUUGCCCACUGGGAACUAUAAAUUAUAGUUCUCACGCCCUCUUUUUCUCGAUGUUUUUCAGAGCCUUCCACGCAGGGUGAGGCCAGGGAUCGCGGGAAGGGAGUUGCUAGGUGGUCCACAUCUCGAUUUAUGUUUUAUUUUGCGAGAGGUUGAGUGUUUUACCAGCGUACUAGAGACCACCAUUUUUAUACAUUUGAGACAGAUAUUGUACUUCUUAUGACUCCUAUUACUGUCUAACUUUACUUCCUUACCUUGGUGUAGAUGAUAGAACUAUACUCGCUCUGAUAUCAUUAGUCGCUUGUUGUUUCACUUCUUCUACUUGUCUUACUACCUGCUUUUACUUCCGCUUUUAUUCUAGACGCCUUAUAUGUGUAGACAUAUGGCGGGUCUGAGCACGCUACCGGGAGGGCCUCCGCCGGUCCCGGGGCGUGACAGCACUACUUCCCGAUCAGCGUCAAGAGGAAGAUGGAGCAGGACUUGCGCAGCUUGCGUCAGGACGAGCGGUCGGUGGCAGAGUAAUAGAGGAAGUUCUCCCGGCUACUUCAUUGUGUACCAUUUGUUGUGAGGGAUGACGAGGACAAGGCCCGCAUUUUUGAGCGUGGAUUGCGGCCUUCUAUUUUCCGAUUGGUGCAGUCUUCCAACCUCCAGACCUAUCGGGAGGUUGUGGAUCGAGCAUUGAUUGUAGAGGCUGGAGCGGCAGAUCUUCAGGAGCGUCGCGAGAGCUCAGAGAAGGGGAAGGGAAAGAGGCCCGCGGCUGAGCGUGCGAGUCAGACGCACUCACGGAGGCCGUCGAGGCACCCCAGGAGCCGGAGCCAGUCGCGGGGACGUGGCUCGUCAACUCAGCGAGGAGGAUCCGUUCGUCGCCAGGCUCCCCGCUGCGUGAUCUAUGGCGGUUCUCAUUACCCGCGGUAGUGUUCAUGCAGUCGGGGCAGGUGCUUCUUGUGUGGCCAGGAGGGCCACUUCCAGUCGGACUGCCCGAGGAGUCCAUCGCCAGCGCCAUCUUCGGCAUCUGCACCAGCAUUACCAGGUCCCAGUCAGGGGAUAUCUUCUACACAUCACCAGGCCGGGCGGCCGUCAGUUCUACGGCAGGCGGAGGGGUCACGACAGGCCUCGAGCGGGCGCAUGUACGCGGCCCAGACUGAGGAGGCGGCGGCAGCCGAGAAUGUGGUCGCAGGUAUCAUUUUACUUUAUGGUAUUCGAGUUAGAGCAUUGUUUAAUACCGGUGCAUCGCAUUCAUUCAUAGACCGGCUGUUUGCCGAGUUGCAUGGUAUCCCACUUGCAUCUUUGUUGCACCCGGGCUGAGUUGUUGUACCCGACCAUUCCUUGGACAUUCGGGAGUUUUGCCCCAGUUGCCCUGUUCGGGUUGGAGAUUGGAUCAUGCCUGCGCACUUGCUAGUGUUGCAUAAACUCGGGGAGUUUGAUGUUGUGUUGGGCAUGGAUUGGUUGACCAAGUACUUUGCCACCAUCGAUUGCAAGAAUCGAACGGUGACAUUUAGAGAGCCGGGGCAGGCGGAGGUUGUGUACCGAGGAUGCCAGAGUUCGCUGUUUGCGAUGACGAUUAGCUCUUCUCGAGCUCGGCAGUUGAUUAGUAGAGGCUGCGUGACCUACUUGGCUACUGUUGUGCUGCGGGGUGAGGAUGACACCCCCAGGAUUGAGGACAUCCCCGUAGUACGGGAGUUUGGAGAUGUGUUCCCAGCUGAGCUUCUGAGCAUGCCACUGGAUAGGGAGAUUGAGUUUGUAAUGGAUCUCGUUCCCGGGACUACUCCAAUCUCAAAGGCACCCUAUAGGAUGGCACCAGCAGAAUUGAAGGAGCUGAAGGCAAAGUUACAGGAUCUUCCGGACAAGGGUUUUGUGCGACCGAGUGUGUCACCUUGGGGAGCACCAGUUUUGUUUGUGAAGAAAAAGGACAGAUCACUUCACUUAUGCGUGGACUAUCGUGAACUUAACAAAGUCACGAUUAAGAAUAAGUAUCCGUUGCCGAGAAUCGACGAUCUAUUUGAUCAGUUACAGGGAUCCAGUGUGUAUUCCAAGAUUGACUUGCAGUCGGGAUAUCACAAAUUGAAGAUCAAGCCUGAGGAUGUGUCGAAGACAGCUUUUAGAACACGGUAUGGACAUUAUGAGUUUACUGUGAUGCCGUUCGGGCUUACUAAUGCCCCGGCAGCUUUUAUGGAUCUUAUGAACCGUGUGUUUAAGCCUUAUUUAGACAGGUUUGUCGUGGUGUUCAUCGACGACAUUUUGGUCUAUUCCCUAAGUGAUGCGGGCCACGAGGAACACUUGAGACUUAUACUUCAAGUGCUUCGGGAAAAGAAGCUCUAUGCCAAGUUGAAAAAGUGCGAGUUUUUGCUUCGGGAUAGCUGUGGAUCCAAGAAAAAUUGAAGCUAUCAAGGAUUGGCCGAGGCCGACGAGUGUGACCGAGAUACGGAGCUUCAUUGGUUUGGCCGGNAGAAAAAUUGAAGCUAUCAAGGAUUGGCCGAGGCCGACGAGUGUGACCGAGAUACGGAGCUUCAUUGGUUUGGCCGGCUACUAUCGACGGUUUGUUGAGGGAUUUGCAAAGUUGUCUACUCCCCUCACGAGGCUCACGCAUAAAGACAAAAAGUUUAUUUGGAAUGAUGCGUGUGAAAGGAGCUUCCAAGAGUUGAAGCAAAGAUUGACGACCGCCCCGAUCCUAACCUUGCCGACUGCUGGAGUAGGGUAUGUGAUUUAUAGUGAUGCUUCCUUUAAUGGAUUGGGUUGUGUCUUGAUGCAGAACGGGAAAGUGAUUGCUUAUGCAUCCCGCCAAUUGAAGGAUUAUGAAAGGAAUUAUCCCACUCACGACUUGGAGUUGGCAGCCGUGGUCUAUGCAUUGAAGCUAUGGCGCCACUACUUAUACGGCGAGCGAUGUGAAGUGUAUACGGAUCACAAAAGCUUAAAGUAUUUAUUCACUCAGAAGGAGUUGAACUUGAGGCAGCGCAGAUGGUUGGAGCUACUCAAGGAUUAUGAUCUGACGAUUCUCUACCACCCAGGCAAGGCUAACGUAGUGGCUGAUGCGCUAAGUAGGAAAUCGACGGAAAACUUAGCGAUGUUUGUGGUGACUCAACCGCCGUUGAUCGAGCAGAUGAAGAGGUUGGAGUUGGAGGUGACUCCUGACGCACCUUUGAGGCUGAUGACUUUGGUGGUGCAACCUACACUUAUGGAAAGGAUUAAAGAAAAGCAAGCUCCCGAUGUGGAGUUGCAAAGGAUUCAAGCUAAGAUGGUUGAUGGUUGCACCGAUGACUUCACUUUGGACGGUGAUCGAUUGAUGCGAUUCCGCGGACGGUUGUGUGUAUCGGCGGACUUGGGCAUUAAAGAGGACAUUCUUCAUGAAGCACACCGAGCACCGUAUGCUAUACAUCCGGGAGGCACCAAGAUGUACAAGGACUUGAAGUUUCUUUACUGGGGGCCCGGGAUGAAAAAGGAAGUUGGUGAGUUUGUUGCCAGAUGCUUAACUUGCCAACAGGUGAAAGUUCAGCACCGAGUUCCUGCUAGAAAGUUGCAGAGCCUACCGAUUCCAGUGUGGAAGUAGGAGAAGAUCACCGUGGAUUUCGUGAUGGGUUUGCCUUGCUCACAGGCCAGGCAUGAUGCUAUUUGGGUGAUCGUGGAUAGGCUGACGAAAUCGGCCCAUUUCAUACCAAUCCACACUAUUUGGACUGGUGAGAGACUCGCACAGGUUUAUCUGGAUGAGAUUGUGCGAUUGCAUGGGGUACCUACUUCUAUAGUAUCAGAUCGAGAUCCCCGUUUUGUAUCCCACUUUUGGAGGAGCUUACAGGAUGCUUUGGGUACGCGCUUGGAUUUCAGCACUGCUUUCCACCCCCAGAGUGACGGGCAGUCGGAGCGUACUAUACAAACUCUCGAGGACAUGCUUCGAGCCUGCGUGAUUGACUUCCAGGGAGGAUGGUCGCAGCAUCUACCGAUGGCAGAGUUUGUGUCACGCCCCGGGACCGGCGGAGGCCUUCCGGGUAGCGUGCCCAGACACGCCAUAUGUCAACACAUAUAAAGCGUCUACAACAAAAGCGAAAGCAAAAGCAAGUAAUAGAACAAAUAGAAGAAGUGAAAUAACUAGCAGCUAAUGAUAUCAGAGCGAGUAAAGUUCUAACAUCUACACCCAGGUAAAGAAGUAAAGCUAGACAAUAAAAGAAUUCAUAAGUAGUACAAUAUCAGUCUCUAGAACAAAAAUGGUGGUCUCUAGUACACUGGUAAACUCCUUAACCUCUCGCAAAAAGAAAUAUAAAUCGAGAGGUGGACCACCUAGCAACUCGUCCUCGAAGGAAGCUAGCUCGAAGUAACUCCCUUCCCGCGAUCCCUGGCCUCACCCUGCACGGAAGGCUCUGAAAAACAUCGAGAAAAAGAGGGCGUGAGAACUAUAAUUUAUAGUUCCCAGUGGGCAAUUACUGACCUCAGCUCUAUGCACCACUAGGCCCCGAAAGAAAAUGGUAAGUACCAUAAUAAUAGCAAUAAUGACUGCGAUAUGAAAGCAUAAUUAAAAUGCUAAAUUACUAAACUCAAGUAUACACGAUGUCAUGGUGAUGUACAUCUAUGAUAUCAAAUGGUAAAUCAUUAACCUUUAUGAAUACAUUAUGCAUAAGUUCUGUCAUGGCAACCAAGUAUGCUUUAAUGCAAAAGGAGACUAUCAAGUACACUACAUGUCUCAACCCUAUGCUAAAAGCAUAUAAAUGUAAUUCAACUACUAAACCUAUCUAGUAGUGAUUAUCCAUUCCCGGUUCAAUGUCAUUAAUCAAACAUGUUUUAGGAUCUACAAAUUGUAAUCCAGCUUGUGCCGCCUAAGUGUCGGUGGUAGCCCCAACAUUCCCACUCUAGGAAUGAGUCUAUCCCUACCGACCCCGUAGGCCUCUCGAUACCGCACGGCGAAUAUAGGUCGCGUAGGCUAACUCCGGAGUGCCGGCUUGUAGGGAGCGACCCUCACAAGCAUGUGCGAAUGAGCAGAAAUGGCAAGCACGCAUAGUCCAAGUCUAAAGUAUCCAAUCCUCAUGUCUCUAACAUGGUAUAGUCACUAGCAUCCCGAAGAUCUAGUUUAAGUCACAAUAUGAAGUUUCAACAUUUGCUACGCCUAGUGCCCCUUGAUGACACUUAGGCAAUUUGAUGUUCAACAUGUAUUCCAAAUCCCUCAAUGGCCCUAUCCACUAGGUUCUCACAUGUCCUGAGCUCAAUGCCGCUUGAUGACAUUAGCUCUCUAGUUCACAUACCUUCUAAAUGGCAAUCUUGUCAACUUUCAUGUCACAAUAAACUUAGGUUUAAAUGCAUGAGUGCAAUCUUAUUUACAUUAUAGGAGUAUGAAACCACAUCUUGUAUAGAAUGCUAAGUGCAACCAUAGGCCAACCAAGCUACUCUCUACUACAUAGAGGUCCAAAAUUUCAUCAUAUAUAACAUAGGCCUUUUAAGCAUUCUAAAAUUCACAAUAAAUACAUACAAUAAGAAUAUGCAUGCUUUUCCAUUUAACGAUACUUAAUUAAGCACAAAUGAGAAUUUCUCAUUGUGUGGCUAGGUCAAACCCACCGAACCGUCGCGUAGGGCCUCGUUUCGCCGAACAAAGUUGUCCCCGAAUCUCAAAAUACCCUAAAAGUAUUGAGCGACAAGAUACACGGGCAUUACGAUCAUCUUAUAUCAUCAAACAUUAACCUAGAAGCAAAAAGGGACAAAACUCACCUCAAGAGUAGAAAUCUUCUCCUAAGCUCCAAAAGAGAGCUAGAACCCUUCCAAUCCAAGCCCUAGGAAGGUUCUAAACCAACAAAUCAAGCCUCAAAAGCCCUAGGUUCAAAAAGCCCAAAAUAAACCCUAAGUCUCAAAACUAGGGUUUCAUCUCAAAGAAAGCUCUAAAAUCCAAAACUUGAGGAAAGGAUCUUGCCACUUACCUCUUAGAAGCCUCAAAACCAGCUCAAAGUCCUCAAACUUCAAGUGUCUUCCCUGAAUCAAGCUCCAAACCCAAGCUCCAAGCUUCAAAAAUGGUGGAAAUAGCUCCAAUAGGCAAAAGAGAGGGAAAAAUCAUCAAAAUCCAAGCUAGAAUGAGAUCAAAUCCAAAAGGUGGAAAAGAGGGGCUCCUUACCUUGCUCCUCCUCAGGUUCCAGCACCAGGGAGGCCCUAUGGGGCGUGGGUGCUGUUAUAAGAAGCCCACAAUCGCAAAUAAGCCCCUGCAGAACAAACUGUGCAGAAUCUGCCUUCUUGUAUCGGUACACGGGAUCUUGUACCGGUACAAGAGCUACGAAAAUCCAAAACCGAGGCUCGGGUGCGCGGUUCUGCGGCGCUGUACCGGUACAGACCCGAUGGCUGUACCGGUACAACCAUCAACAUUGUACCCGUACAAGACCACCCUUGUACCGGUACAAGCCCGCCAAACAGCCAAUCCGAGAGCUGACCAAAAUCCAAAUUUUUGGGUUUUGGUGCAAGGCUUUGUACCACACUCCUCGGGACACAUGCCAUAGGUCGGAACACAGUCAACGACCUACCAGGAAAUCUAGAAAAGCUCAGAGCACAGCUAAUCACUCGAAUCUCGUAAUUUGCAAAGGUCUAGUGCGUUACAGUUUGCUUAUAACAAUAGUUAUCAAGCAAGCAUCAAGAUGGCACCGUUCGAGGCACUCUAUGGACGGAAGUGUAGAUCGCCACUUCAUUGGAGUGAAGUUGGCGACAGAUUGGCCUUAGGCCCAGAUGUGCUCCAGGAGGUCGAGAACAAGGUUCGCAUUGCUCGAGAGCGACUGUUGACAGCCCAGAGUAGGCAAAAGAGCUAUGUUGAUCGGCGUCGACGAGACUUGGAGUUUCAAGUUGGAGAUCACGUCUUCUUGAAAGUCUCGCCGACUCGAGGGAUUAGAAGAUUUGGAAUCCGGGGUAAGUUGAGCCCCCGAUACAUUGGACCGUAUGAGGUUCUGGAGCGUGUAGGCCCGGUAGCGUAUAGACUUGCUCUACCGCCGAACCUAUCGGGUGUACACAAUGUAUUCCAUGUAUCGGUCCUUCGGAAGUACAUCCACUACCCGGCUCAUGUUUUGGAUGCUACACCAGUGGAGCUGAGGGAUGAUCUGAGCUUUGAAGAGCAACCCUUGAGGAUUUUGGCUCGCGAGGUAAAGAGAUUGCGGAACCGAAAAAUUUCCUACGUGAAGGUGCUUUGGAGCAACCACGACAAGCGCGAGGCCACUUGGGAGUUGGAGAGCGCACUGCGGGAGCGCUAUCCCCAUCUUUUUCAGAUGGAGGCUUGAGGUACUUUGUCUUUUUCGAGUUUUGCGGACGAAACUCUUUUUUAGGAGGAGUGAAUGUAGCACACUGGACCUUUGCAAAUUGCGAGGUUCGAGUGUUCGAGCUGUGUUCUGAGUCCUUCCAGACUUUCUGGUGGGUCGUUGACAGUGUUCCGAUUUAUGGCCCGUAUCCCGAGAAUUGUGGUUUAAAGCUGUGUACCAAAACCCGAAAAAUCGGAUUCUUGGCCAGCUCUCGGGUAGCCUUCAGAGGGUCUUGUACCGGUACAAGGUUGGUGGUUGUACCGGUACAAGGUUGAUGGUUGUAUCAGUACCGCCACCGGGCUUGUACCGGUACAGAGCCGCGGAACCCCCCAGACCCGAGCCUCGGGUUGAAGCUUUUCGUGAGGCUUGUACCGGUACAAGGGCCCGUGUACCAGUACAAGGGCCCGUGUACCGGUACAAGGUGGCAGAAUUUGAGCAGUUUGAACUGCAGGGGUGUUUUUGCGAUUGUGGACCUCUUAUAUCAACACCCACGCCCCUAGGGCUUCCUCCUGAGCUUGCCACAGCAGGAAUAGAGGUAAGGGAGCCCUCCUUGAUUUUCUUUUUGUUUUUCUUGGAUUUUGGUGGGAUUUUAAGAGAUUAAACUCCUCUUUUUGCUCGUUGGUACAACUUCACCAUUGUUGAAGCUUGAAGCUUGGAUUUGGAGCCUUGUUGAGGGAAGAUCUUUGGACUUAGAGAGUUUAGAGCUUGGGUUGAAGCUUCUAAGAGGUAAGCAUCAUAUUCUCUCCCUCUAGAUUUGAUUUUUGUUGAUGGUUUUGAGAUAAAACCCUAAAAUGGAGACUUAGGGCUUAUUUUUGGGCAUUUUUGAUUUAGGGCUUUUGGGGCUAAAUUAAUUGGAUUAGAACCCUCUUUGGGUUGUAUUGGAAGGAUCCUAGCCUUCUUUUGGAGCUUGUGAGAGUUUUUCUACACAUUAGGUGAGUUUUAGCCCUUUUGCCUUGUUGGUUAAUGUUUGAUUUUAUAGUUGAUCGUGAUGCUCGAGUAUCUCUUCGCUCAAUACUUUUAGGGUAUUUUGAGACUCGUGGACAACUUCGUUCGGCGAAACGAGGCACUACGCGACGGUUCGAUAGGUUUGACCUAGCCAUACAAUGAGAAAAUCUCAUUUGUGAAGAUUUGAGUAUCGUUAAUUGAUAAAGCAUGUAUAUUCAUGUUAGAUAUAUUUAUUAUGAAUUUUAGAAUGCUUAACAUGCAUACAUUAUGUAUAGUAAAUUUUUGGACCUCUAUGUGAUAGGGUGCAUGCAUGUGGGACGUAGCAUUCUAGUGGAAACUUAGAACCAUGAUUCCUAUUAUGAAAAUGAACAUUGCUUUCUUGCAUUUAACCUUAUGCCUAAUUGUGACAUUAGGGACUUUGGAAGCCUAGAGAGGUUUGGGGACUUAGGCUAUUUGAGAUUUUGGGCCAAUGUCAUAAAGAGGCAUUGGGCCCCGGGCUAUAGUGAAUAUUGGUAUUAACGUCAUAUUUAGAACAUAGAACAUGAAUUGAGCUUGAUUAGUUGUGAUGCUUAAGUGUCAUAAAGAGGCACUAAGCAAGUGGUGUUGAGAUAUCACAUUGUGACAUAGAGCUAGACCGUUGGGUUACUAGUAGCUAUUGCCAUGUUUGAGACAUGAGGGUUGGAUACUUGAGCCUUUGACUAGGUUGCUUGCCAUUUGUGCUCAUUCGCACAUGUUUGUGAGGGUCGCUCCCUACAAGCUGGCACUCCGGAGUUAGCCUACGCGACUUAUGUUCGCUCGUGCGGUAUUGAGAAACCUACGGGGUCGAGUGGGACAGAUACAUUCCAAGAGUAGGAAUGUCGGGCUACCACAGGCACUUAGGCCGCACAAGCUGGACUACUUUGGGUAGGCCCUUAUUUGGAAAUGGAAAUCGACACAGUGUUGAGUGUGUUAUAAUCACUACUAGAUAGAGAUUAGUAGUUGGAUUACUUGGACUUACUUCUAGCAUAGUAUUGGACACUUGAGUACACAUACGUACAUGUAGUAUGUUAGGAGAUGUUGCUUAUUGCAUUCAUAUAUACAUUGUUGCCAUGAUAAAGCAUGAUCCUUAUAACUUCAUAAGUGAACUGUGACAUUUACUUGUAGCCAUGUAGAGACAUAUUGGUUAUGACAAAGUAAAGGUGCAUUAUUUUUCAACACCAUGCUUAAUUGCAAUAUAGUAGCUUAGCAUUUUAAUUAUGCUCUUAUAAAUACAGUUUAUUCAUUAUUAUUGCUGUUUGCCGUAGUUACCAUUUUCUUUUGGGGCCUAGUGGUGCAUUGAGCUGAGGUUAGUAAUUGCCCACUGGAAACUAUAAUUUAUAGUUCUCACGCCCUCUAUUCUAUGUUUUCUUUCAGAGCCUUCCACGCCGGGAGAGGCUAGGGACCGUGGGAAGUGCGUUGCUUCGAGCUAGCUCUUCAGCGAGGGACGAGUUGCUAGGUGGUUUACCUCUCGAUGUAUUUUAUUUUGGGAGAGGUUGAGAGCUGUACCAGUGUACUAGAGACCACCCUUUGUGUACUUUUGGGACAGAUAUUGUACUACCUUAUGGUUUACUUUUAUUGUUUAGUUGUAUCAUUUUACUUUUGUUAUAGAAAGUAGAAUCUUACUGCUCUGAUAUCAUUAGUUUUUGCUCUUUCCUUUCGGCUAUGUUUCUUGCUUUAUUUCCGCUGUUGACGUAGACACCUUAUAUGUGUUGGCAUAUGGCGGGUCUGGGCACACUACCGGCAGGGCCUCUGCCGGUCCCGGGGCGUGACAGUAUCUACACUAAACAUCCUAUAUGCAUAAGUAACCACAUAUGAGAACAUGAUCAAUAAUACAACUUAGACAUAACCGGAAGCCCAACUGCUUCGAGAUAACACCCCCCACCUUCUGGUGGUGCCACGAAGAUAAGGUUCGAAUUUCGCGAUCUUAGGACGCCGCCUCGGUUCUUUAAGCGAAAACGAAGCCGAAACGCCCUUUUUGCUAAUAUCUUUGCGCAGGCUCGACGGAUCGCCGAACCGUCUUCACCACCGUGUCCGACUACCUAGUAAAUAGGCACAAAAGAGAUCAAUCCCAACCUUGGAUCUCUACUUUACAAAACCUAUUUUAGAACCCUAGGUCGGAACUAUUGCAAGAAUCCGACGUAUAACUUCGCGAUUCAAGCAAUAAUCACCUACUUAGCAUCUAGGGGUUCUAUAAAAACCAUUUCUAAGGUAUAAAACAUCAGACCUAGAAAUCUACCAUUAAAGCUCCAUGAAGCUUACCUCAAAACCUCGCUCCAACAACGAGGAAGAAGAUGAAGAAGACGAAGAUCCGACGUCAACUUCAAUCUCCUUCAAUCCCUUCACUAACUUCCACCCUUGGGGGAGCUUCUAGAGAGAGAAAAGAAGAAAGAAAUGGUGAGGAGAGAGUUCACUGGCUGUGAACAAGAAAGGGGGAGUUGGGGCCCUUUUAUAAGCUGCCACAAUUAUAUAAAAGCCCCUCAAACAAUUCCAAAUUGCAACAGACCCAACCUGCAGUUUUCUGCAGUUGGUACCGGUACACGGGCAAUCUGUCACCGGUUCAACGAUUACGCAGCAGCAACCCGAGAGCAGCCCUUUUCGGUCAGCAGUCUGGUACCGGUACUAUUUUGGUCUAUCACCGAUUAACAGUUGUUGUGUGUCGAUCGUCCCGACCCUUGACCUAGUCAAAGAUCUUCUUCGGGAAGCGCGUCGGGGCUGAAAUGGCUCCGAAAGAUGACCCUCGAAGUGUGUGCCCUUUUACUGAACAAGCGAUUCGGCUGAUGAGGGAUCCAAUUAGCCAGGUCUGAAGAACUCUAUUCUCUCUUUGGUUCGGCCGGAUGAGCCGAAUGUAUGGGAAAAGUCGGAAACUCAACCAGGAGAUGAGCCGAACGGCUAACACAACACAAGAUCUGGCCGGUCUGAAGAGCCGAAAAUGACUUUCUAUUGAAUGAACCAGUAGAGAGUACAGGAAGAAAGGUUUUAGUCUACAACGGAGUGAUGCCCCGGGGGCAGACAGACUCCAGGAUCCUAAAUUACCAAGCUACUCCUAGAAAAAGCAGUAAAUGCAGGAAAGAAAGAUGCGGUAAAAUAAGGGUGGUCUUUUGUUCGCAAGGAAAAAAUACCCGUUUUUAGGGUGUUAUUACCCUAUUUAUAGAUCGCCCCCUUGAUCAGUUAUUGCUCUUACAUGAUCGGUCAUUAUCUCCUCAUAUUCCGGAUCACCUCCAGCCGAUCGGAACCGCAUGUAACUGCUUGCGGUUACUGUAACUUCCUUCAAUUGGCGCGAUUUAGUUUCCUUUAAACUUUUUCGGUGCUCCGAUACCCCGGGGGCAGACAGACUCCAGGAUUCUAAAUUACCAAGCUACUCCUAAAAAAAACGAUAAAUGCAGGAAAGAAAGAUGCGGUAAAAUAAGGGUGGUCUUUUGUUCGCAAGGAAAAAAUACCCCUUUUUAGGGCAUUAUUACCCUAUUUAUAGAUCGCCCCCUUGAUUAGUUAUUGCUCUUACACGAUCGGCCAUUAUCUCCUCAUAUUCCGGACCACCUCCAGCCAAUCGGAACCGCAUGUAACUGCUUGCGAUUACUGUAACUUCCUUCAAUUGACGCGAUUUAGUUUCCUUUAAACUUUUCCGGUGCUCCUGGUGCACGACCGAAUAAAUGCUUUUGAAGGGAAUACCAGCAUCCCACCUGUCCGCGCCUAAUUGGCUCAACAACAGCCUUGACAGAGGCUAACCCGAGAGCAACUCUGCUCUCGGUUUCUGUAGUGUACCGAUGACACCCCUGGGCUGUCACCGGUUCACAACGCUCCAGAUUUGAUUCUCGCAUUGUUACGACUCCAAUUCACGCCGAGCAAUGCUAAAACCUCUCUAACUCUUUUGGAACUCAAUUUUAACCCUUCCAACAUAGUUGGAAUGUCAAAUGGAACAUGUCCAAGCAUCCGUCUCGCCACACUUUGGUCACUUUGACCAAAAGUGGAUUAUUACUAUGAGGAUUCGAUAUCUUACAGUUGGGGUAGUCGUGUACUCUAAUAUUAACCAAAAUGGUGAAUACCUUGCAAUAUACACGCAUUAAACAUCCUGAGAAAACAUUUGGUACACUUAUAAUUUCAUAUAUUACUGCCAUGCCAUAUUUUGCGUAAUACUGAAUUGCUACUUGUCUCUACAUUUGGAACACCUACAGGUCAAAAUUGUGUAAUCUAAAUAAAAAACUAAUAUCGUUAACGGCCAUAUAACUGUUGGGAUAAAUCAGAGCCUAUGUAAACAUAGAUGAUACAGCUAUUCUCUGGAUCUGCAAAUUGUCUUCACCUUCUUGAGGUGUAGAAGUAUAGCAAGUGUUAACCUGCAUGACCAGAUCUACCACUGGCUCACACCAUUAUGAUUGUCUCCGUUAUAGUGAAAUAUGAUUGUGUUGUCUGACUUUACACAUGCGCAAGAAUCCAUAUGUAGAUGUUCUUUUAUUAUAUAUAGAGGGAAUUAAGUAUGAUGCCAAAUACCAUCAAAAUCUAUGUAAUACCGCAUCAUUGUGCAUCCUUAGGUCAUUCUCUAGCACUGUUUGAGGCAUCAAACUGUGCGCAUAUGUUAAUCUGCAUAAUGAGACUGCCUACUGGCUCACACUACUAUUAUAAUUUUAGUCUAUAUUUAUAGUGAAAUGUGUACCAGGAACCACUAUUGUAAUGUACCAACUUCUUGAUAUAAAGAUCAGUGUAAAUAAAAAUAGUGUGAGAUACUAUUUUUAUUGAACUUAAAGAAGUAAAAUAUAAGUCGAAAAUGACUUGUGCUGAAAUUGGAGUGGAAACAGAAGAUUUAGAAUUUUCUGUAAAAAACGGGGAUGAUCUUUUAGCAGAAAAUUCACAGUGUCAGAAAAUUAUGAAAACUUGAGAAUAUGUCGGAAUUACUUUUAUGAGGCUAGAUUUAAUGUUUCAUGUCAUUCUAACAACUGGAAGGUGGAAAAUAAAAUCUGACUGUGAUCUACUAGAGAUUUUAGUCGGUAGAAUUUUUGGUGACAAAAAAUGGUCCAAACUGAAAAGUUAAGAUAUCUUUCUUCUUAUUAGUUUAAACCGAGUCUGACUGUCAAAUUUGAGUGCAAACGGACAUUCAAAAGGGCUCCGACGAAAAGUAUCAGAUUCUGAACUGCUAAACUGAAAUUGUAAUAGUGUUGGGGGACAUAUAUAUAAACCCACACAACUCUCUCUCUCAUUGGUUUUCAUCGAGCACGAGAGGAGCUUGGAGAGGGGUUUUCUUUCUCUUUAAAUCACUCUCCCUCUACUCUCUAACACUUUUCUCUCCAUUCCUCUUGUAAUUUCUCCAUUAAAGAGAGGUUUGGAGGAGCUUAAGGUUGCUUGGUGGUGAAGCAAGCCUUGGGGAGAAGAAGCUUCAUGAAAGCAAAGGAUUCAAGGUGAGACUUCCUUAAAGUUGAGUUAGGAUUUUAGUUAAAUCCUUUAAAAGUUGUUGUAUUUAGGAUCUAUAUAUGAUUUUAAGCUAGUUUAAUGAAGGGUUUAUCAUGAUUAAUGAGAUUCUCUUGAGGAAAUGGAAACCUAGGGUUGAAAUUGGGGUUUUUGUCCCUAUGAGGUUUUGAAUUAAAUUGACCCUCUAAAUAUCUAAUUAAAGGUUAGAAGAGCACGCCCAACAACUUUAAUUAGGAUGCGUAGCGGCCUCGGCGAUCGAUCGAAGGAAACAAAUUGAUUCAUGAAGAUUUGAGUUCGUUAGCCUUAAAGCGCGGCGAAUCGUCAUUGGGAGCCCGAUUGCAAGUGACUACAAGCAAUCGAAGAGCGUUACGAGGUGGGUUGUGCUUCACCGAAGUGAUUAGGUCAUUUCUAAGCCAAAGUGAAGUAUAAAUGUUGUUGAUGCAUGUAAAAUUGGUAGGUUGUAUAUGAUAAUAUAAAUGUAUAAAUCAUAUUAUGCUUGAUGUUGUUACCUACCAUGAGAUGCUAUAUGAAUGCAUGAAGUAGAAGCUAAUCAAGAACGCAUGAGAUAGAUGCUAGUAAUGAACAUAUGAGAUGUAUGCGAAGUGGAUGCAUGAGCUAGAUGCUAAAUGAAUGCAUAGAGUAUAUGCUAAGUGAAUACAUGAACUAGAUGCUAAGUAAAUGCAUGAGUUAGAUUCUAAUUGUAAAUGCAUAAGAUAUAUACUAAGUGAAUGUAUGAGCUAGAUGCUAAAUGAAUGCAUGAGUUAAAUGCUAAAUGAAUGCAUUAGGUAGAUGCUAAUUGUAAAUGCAUAAGAUAUAUGCUAAGUGAAUGUAUGAGCUAGAUGCUAAAGAACGCAUGUGAGAGUUGCUAAAGAAUACGUGGGACAUAUGCUAAUAAAGAAUGUAUGAGUUGUAUGCCAAAUGUAUAUUGAUUACUAUUGUGAUAAGAACAUAGGCAUGUGUAGGAAAUGUUAGAGAAUAUAUGCAUGUUGACAUAACGUGAGAAAAUGCUAGGUUCAUACGAGUGUGAACUUGGGUCGAUAACUCUAGGUUGUUAGAGAAUUCGACAAGUGUGGCAUGUCAAUUAUGAUUCCUAGGUAUGGACAACUAGGAAAAUAAGAACAUGAGUGGCAAUGAAACCUAGUGUUAUUAAACAUAGGUGAUUCAUGAGUGGCAUUGAACCUAAAGUCAAAUGAACCUAGGUAGCAAGGAGCAAGGAACCUAGUAUUGUAGAACCUAGGCUAUGAGUAUAGUGGCAUUAAGCCUAAUGUUAUUAAAUUUAGGUUGAGGAGUGACUUGAACCUAGAAAGGUUGUCAACAUACGGUAAGACCAACCUUGAGAUAUGAAAGUGGAUUCCGGAAUCUCAGGACUUGUGAACUCGACAGUUCUUGGCCGCGGGUGCGUAUGGCAUAUUCCCCUCCCAUCGGAAGAACUUCGAGUAUAGGCUUAUGGAUGAUUCUUGGCCGCGGGGGCUGUGUGGCAUAUUCCCUUCCCACCGGAAGAAUCUUGGAGCGCUAGGGUGUAUGUGGCAUGUUCCUCUCCCUAUCGGGGAUCUUGGGCCGCGGGUGUGUGUGGCAUAUUCCUCUCCCACCGGAAAGAUCCCUAACCACGGGUGUGCGCUGCUCUGAGCGACCCGUUGGGCGACGUGGUUUGUGGAAUGGUGGCUGAGGUGCAUGUGAGAGUUCCUUCACCUGGAGCUGGACAGAGCGCGGAUUAUUUGCAGUCGAUUGACUCAAGACCGAGUCGAGUGGCAUAGUUGGCUAAGGUAAAGGUAACCUUAGGAAAGAAUGACAAAUGAGUAUAAUAUGGCUAAGGUGGGAGUACCCUCAGUGAAGAAUAAAGAUUAGCUAAGAAUAAUAAAAAAAGUCAAAGAAUAAAGAAUUGCUAAUAAUAUAAAGAAUGGCAAAUGAUAGAGAGUAGAAUCAAUUGAUCUACUUGCAUAGUUGCAUGAUUUGCAUAGUUGCAUAUUGUGGGGCAUGAACAUGAUAAUUGCUAGUCGCAUAAAUUAUAUAUCUGUGAAUAUUUGUUGGACUAACAUAUUUGCAGUGCCUCCUUUGGACCUGGUGGGUCGAGCUCUUCCCUUGGGUGACCGUACCCACUGGGAACUAUGGACAAUAGUUCUCACCCCACAUUAUUUUGGGGGUUUCAGGUUCACACGCGAGUUGCGCGGCGGCGCGAGGAAAGGGCGCAGCUCCAUAGAUAGCGCCCUACCACUGAGACUAGAGAUAGCGGUACCCUGAGUCGACUACUUAGGGAUGUGAAAAAGGAAAAAAAAUCAAGUUGUAAUAAUUAUGUUAAAUGGGAUUGUAUUUGGAACUUAACAAGAGUUGAAAAUGUAAUAUGUAAAAUGUAUGUAUGUUGGAUGCUUGUAAUAGCAUAGCGUUUAUGUUUUUGAUACCUUCCUUAUGCAAUCUUUGUUUGAAUGCUGUUCCUGGUUGAAACCUCGCGCAUUGUAUGAUUGUGACGUCUUGGACGUACAGGGGAGACUCUGUCCGCGAUACAGGGGAAACCCUGUCCGUUCGGCGGUAUGUUGGCGUGCCCGAAUCCGACCAAAUAGGUGGGGCUCGGGGCGUGACAACUAUAGUCAAUCCAUUUCCAUAAGAAUAAGCCGUGAAGUAUCGUGUACCGUGCAGAGGUAUUCACCAUCCCAACAUCUUUUUGAGUGUUGAUAGUGUUAUAUCAAAUAUGACAAAUUCGUUUUGACCUGAAGGUGUAUUUAUACUAGUAUGCUACUUUUUGUAUACCCAUCUAGCAUAUAGGUACACUAAUACAGAAGUAAAGCACAAUAUUUAAGGACUUGCCCUGCAUGCCUAAAAGCGACAGCUAUAGAUUAACCGGUGCACACCUUUAAAAUUAUAGCAAGUACCUAAAUAAAUUAGUGACAUGUCUUCUCUUGCAAGUCAGUACAUACUUUGACUUGAUUCAUCCCGCAGGUGCUGACAGUGGGUGUCUCAUAUAUGUAGAUUCUACUAUUACAUGUCGGUAAUAUUACUUAAUGCCUGACUUAUGAAUAAUCUGCAUGAUAAGACAUGUCAAUUUCCUUUAGUAUUGUCUUUUGAGUUGGUAAAGGUGUACCUUAGUCCACCAGAGGUAUUCCAUUGGACAUUAAGAUAGGAAUGCACGGACAGACCUUCAUAAUUUAUUAAUAUAGCUAGCACUGUAUAAUGGGUAGGGGUGGAAACGAGCCGAGCUCGAGCGAGCUUACCUCAGCUCAAACUUGGCUUGAAGUUAUUUUCGAGCCUAAAUUUAGGCUCAAGCUUCGCUUGAAAUUAAUUCGAGCCGAGCUCGAGCGAGCCUAACUUCGAGUCGAGCGAGCUCGAGCCCUAAAUGAGCCGCUUAAAAUUCUUAACAUCAUGCAAUCUAUAAUUUAAUUUUUAUAAAACAUUAUGUAAAAUUUGAUACAAAAUGUCACGCCCCGGGACCGGCGGAGGCCCUCCCGGUANGACGAGUAGCUAUAAUUCUAAAGCUAAUACAAAAUAGUUGGGGAAGGGCUGGUUAAGUAGAGCUUCAGAGUAUUUUCAUCAUAAGCUGUAAGCUUUUACAACUAUGGGAGAUAGUCCUACGGGGGCGUUAUACAGGUAUUAAUCAACCACUGAUCACUUGCCAGAUCACGCUGUACCAGAGAAUAUGUUCCAUAAAACUUUGAGUUUCUGUGGAAGCAACUAUUUGUAUUGAACGUGGAGUAGGGUUAUUAGAAGGAGAAGUAGAUUCUUACGGUACUCUAAGCGGUGUCAACCUCUAGAUUUUUGAGCUGCUAACUAAUUGACUCAGUAGUGAUGUUAGGUUGUUUUUUUAUUUUUCGUUAAAAAUCUUUCUUACUUGUAAGAUUAUACGUACAAUUAAAUGUGUUAGAUUUUUACGACCUAAUACUUCACCGUUAAAGCUAAAGUCUACCGAGUCUACAUUUUUCCAAAUCUUAUUUUGACACCGACAUCACCCUAACCAGGUAAGAAGGGAUGGUAAAUGUAGAUGAUGGGAAAAUACGUAGUAACAGCUUUGUUUUUACACUAUACUUAUACGACGUAUUUCUCUUCGUUACCUGUUUUAUGAUGAUAAUCAAGGUUUACCAAUUCUUUAACAUUAAUAUUAUCCUUUUUUUACACGACGAUAGUCAAAGUAUACCAAUUCUUUUACGUUAGUAUUUUCAGGUAACUACAUUCGAUCGAAAGUUCACAUUCCCAAACGUUAUUUUACAAUAACCGUUGACGUCACCAGACAGGGACGGAGGUAUGGUAAAUAUUGUGGUAUAGUAACUGAUUUGAUGUUAAAUUAUGUUUUUUACGACGUAUUAAUCGUUAUCGUUACGAAUUUCUCGUUAUUGUAUCUAUGUAUUUCUCGUUCUUAUCACGGAGAACUAUACGACAGUAGUUAGUAAGAAUCAAAAGUUUCACGUUAUUAUAUCCACGUAUAUCACGUCCUUUUUUCUAAUAUACGACAGUAGUUAAGUAAUUUCUCUUUGACGUACUCAUAUCAAGGUAAAUUUCGUCUUGUAUUUUUUCUUUUUUAUACAACGGUAGUAAAGGUGUCUCUAUCUCUUGACCUUCAUAUUUCCAGUACAAUAAAUUCGUCCUAAUUCUCACUUUCCCAAAUUUUAUUUUACCACCGACGUUAUCAUCAGUAGGGAUGAAGGUUGGUAAAUGUAUUUUUCGUCCUUGUUACGGAGAACUAUAGCACGGUAGUUUAUAUCUAUCAAAUGUUUGACGUGUUUAUAUCUACGAAUUUAUCGUCCUUGUUUUUUAAUAUACGAUGGUAGUUAAGUUCUAAAAUUUAUAUUGAUAUAAUAUGUAAGUAUUCGUUUCAAUGUCUCCUUUUUAUACGACGGUAAUUAGGAAUUAGUCACGUUUUUGAUGUUAUAAUAUUCGGGGUAGCCAAGAUUAAUUAAAUUUUAUCGUUAUUAAUCAAAAAUUUGUCGUCCUAUAAUGAUAAAAUUUGUCACUUCAUUGUAGCAAGGUAUGUAAACUCAAAGGUUGAUGUAACUGGUAUUUAUCAUGCUAUUUCCUAUUGUAUUCGACGAUAGUUAAGAUGUAUCUAAUCUUUAUCGGUAUUAUAUCCUUUGAUUUUCUGGUAUUUAUAUCAUCAAAUCUAUGUUUUUUCCCGCUUUGUCAUCCUUGCAUUAAGUAUAUCCGGAACGAUUGGUGUAUCUUUUGGGUUUUAUAUAGUUCAAACACACGUUCCGGCGUUUUUGGUCCACCGUCUAAUUUCUAUAAAUAGAUCAAUCCUCCCUUCCUCCCACGCAGUCCGUACAAAGGUCACCGGUCGGCAACGUACUGGUGAACUGCCAGUUAGGUGUAUAUGUUUUAUAGAGGUGAGUAUCUGUACUUGUAACUGGAUAACGCGAGUAGGAACUUUCGCAGUGUACGUCUCUCCUAUCGAAGUUCUCUAUCUGGCCCUUACAAUAAAUCAGAAUGGUAUGUGAGGAGAUACCUCACUUCAAAACCUGUUCGCAGUUAGAGUGCGACAUCGUUAGCGAGUCGAUACAAGUUAGAAAAAAACGGUUCGAGUUGGUUGAGAACGUAUGUUAGUCUCAACAAAAGUUAAAAAGGAAAUGCCCAACUACAGCCACAUCAGAAUGCACUGCCUCCACUCCUUGCUGCAGAGAAUGGUCUUCUUCAUACUCGUCUUCGUGAUCAUUACACGCCUAAAGGUGAGAAUUGACCCCAACCUCACCCUCUUAUACUUCAACGUAGUAACUACGGUAGAAGUAAAACGCCGCUGUAACGGUACCCAUUAACCACCGAUGGUCUUCAAACGGGUACAGGACUUCCUGGCCGGUACCUAAAAGACUAAACGAGAUUUUACCGCCAACACGGGCCCCUACUACUACUGUACGAUGCUUGUAGGAGUGAAACGUAAGGUCAGCAUUUAGGUACGGAUGGGCAUCGUCACCAGAAAGGUCUAUUCUUGAGUUACAGGAAUAUACGUCCCUUGCCAAACAGGGAUGUGAAUCGUAUUCGACUUAAAAGAACAUUGUUAUAUUUUGUGUUACCAGUUGACUCUUUUGAUAUUAAUAUAUUUUUAAUUUUAAAGUUCUAUUAACCAAGUUGUUGUAUGGCGAUGGUGAUGUAAGGUUAGUGAAUCCAGCGGACGACAACCUUACAACGCUAGUAUUAGGGUUGGGGUAGGUGAGAAUAAUCGAUUACAAACUAUGUACUGCUUAACAGCGAAGUUGUGAAAAUCAGCUAAAACAUUUACCGAAAAUUGUUUCAAACGAAAACAAGCGUCCAACUUUAGUACUUAAUAAGAAGGGGUUCGUUCACCUCAUUUUGAAGGUAACUGCUUUAAAGGUUCUUGUACAAGAAGACAGUAGUUCAAGUUGUAACGGCUUAGGUACUGGAAACAGGUUAAAGGUCUCGCAUGAGACCCAAAGCUCUAAAGGACUGACACCGAAACCUCCGAAACCGAUAGUCAACUCCACUGUAGUUAUUGCAAAUACAAAACAGAAUGUUUUGCUACUUGAACAGAUAAAACUCCAUCGUAGACUUCAAUUAGUUGUAUAUUUAUUUAUUUAUUUAAUUGUUCAGCAGCACUUCAUGUCGAAUAUCAUUCAAUUGUACCGAAUCUUCUUUCCCCUAUUACUACUAGUGCCACCGACGUUACGCUUUUUGUACGGUGGGUUGGUACUUCAAGAUCAAAGAAUGGGUACGUAGUAGCAGAGUAAAAUACAGUUUAUUCCGUAGGUUGUUCCGUUGUCUCUUUCGUGGUGGUAAAGUGUUAUGGAGGUUCUAGUAUACGUAACUCAUGUACAAGUAGUCGUCUAUGACUAUUAAGGGUCACAAGUCGAUAUAUAUCUUGUACCAAUAAGGUCAAAAAAUUGACACAUCUUAACUACCGUCGUAUAGAAAUAAAAACAGGACGAUAAAUACUUGGAUAUAAUAACGUGAAACUUAUCUGGGUAUGUUUACUACCGGAUAGGUCUCUCGGAUUUAUUUUACGUUAUCCUUCUGUUUCUUUGUAUUAUAUUUAUCGUACGUUUUAAUAUAUUUUGUUGUUGGAACAGAAAGUUGUUAUAAUAAAUGAUAAUAAAUUUCAUCCGUGUAAUAUAAUGUCUUUAAUUCUUUUUAGACUACCAAAUGGAUUUUUAGAUUAAUAAAUUUUAGUUGAUAAUACUUGAAAAGUCGUAUUAUCAACAUUUUUUACUUAUUCUUUAUUUCAUUAUUCUGCUUAGAUCAUCUUUGGUUCUCUUUUCGUUCUGCAUUCUCAUCUACUUAAAAGCCGGUAUUAAUUAUGUGAGUUUGACUUCGAAAUGUUAACUUUAUUUUAUUAUUAUCCUUAGUUGUGUAUUUAUAUUUACCUCGUUAGUGAGUUGUACUUACUUAGCAGGAUACAUAACUUAACCAUCGACGUAUCCUGAUUAGGGUAUACGGAGGUUUAGUGUUAUGUAGACUUAAGUUUUUACGAAGUGACGAACAAUUAUCCUAUGUAGAGCAAGGGUAAGUUCCGGGUCGUAAUAGUUUCAAUCCGGUGUUCAAUGUAGUUUGAUCUAUUUUUUUUUGGGUGGAAACAUUCUAGUUCCUCGCGUUUAUGCUAAUUGAUAAGUCUACUCGUGUCACUUCCCAUCUCAAAGGAGUUGGUGUCUUAAAAACUCCCCAAACGUAGAGUGGGACCACGUAUGAUAAAUAUCCCUUCUUCAGUCCUGAAUGAUACAAUCCAUCCUCUUUUAUUCACAUCAAUUACCUCUGCUGAGCUGUUGAGCUUGAUUGUCGUUCUAGCCUCUUCUAUAGAAAGACAACACGUCGGUUCUCUCUAACGGAAUUAAUUACCGGCUAGAUGCGUCCCUUGGCUCGAAAACUUUUGUUAUCUACGCAUCCUCUGUAACGAAGUCCUCAUUUUCGUUUGGUGAGGUUAUUUAUCCCAAAACCCCGUCACUUCUUCUGCUAUUUAUCCCAGAAACCCCGCCACUUCUUCUACUGCGAUAGAAACCAUCCGCGCUCCGUCAUUUUUCCUUUUUUUUUCUUUACAAGCGGAUCCCUUCUCUUCUUCUCAUCCCUCUCCCCAUAUCUAUCCACGCUCCUUUUUCAUUUCUUCUUAGUGUUCUCCUUCUUCUGCUGCGUCGAAGAGCUCUUUUUCUACUUCUGCUUCUACCCCGUCCACGUUCUCAUUUCCCCGCUAUGCUUGCUCCGUUUCGUCGUUUUAUUUUAUCUUAAAGGGUAGGGACGGGGACCCUGUUUUAGAUUAAGGUCCCCACCCCCCCUUAAUUAGAAUUGCCCAAUAAGGUCAAAAAAGACCUUAUUGGGCGAAACUGGCCAUAUUCGAUAAGGACAGAAAAAAAAAACAAACCAUCUUAUAUAUCCUAUUUUAUGAAAUAGGAGACCAAUAAGAUAAUGGUUUGUAUCGGAAUACCAUAUUUUCACAAGAUUUGGGUUUUUGACUAUCGUCACAAGAUAAUUCGAAAUGCUUACAAGAUAAUUCAGUAUUCUCCCAUUCUAACGUUACGUAUAUACAAGCGUUGACGUUUGGACUAUUUUCACAAGAUAAUUCGAGAUUCUCAUAAGAUAAGAUGAUACUGUUUUCUCACAAGUGUUGGUGUUUUGAUAAUUCUCACAAGAUAAUUAGAAAUGUUGACAAGAUAAUACCGUGUUUUCACAAGAUAAGAUGAUACUGUUUUCUCACAAGUGUUGGUAUUUCGAUAAUUCUCACAAGAUAAUUAGAAAUGUUGACAAAAUAAUACCGUAUUUUCAUAAGAUAAGAUAUUACUGUUUUCUCACAGGUGUUCAUAUUUUGAUAAUUCUCACAAGAUAAUUGGAAAUGUUGACAAGAUAAUACCGUUAUUUCACAAGAUAAGAUGAUACUGUUUUCUCACAAGUGUUGGUAUUUCGAUAAUUGUCACAAGAUAAUUAGAAAUGUUAAUAAGAUAAUAGCGUAUUUUCACAAGAUUUGGGUUUUUGACUAUCGUCACAAGAUAAUUCGAAAUGCUUACAAGAUAAUUCAGUAUUCUCCCAUUCUAACGUUACGUAUAUACAAGCGUUGACGUUUGGACUAUUUUCACAAUAUAAUUCGAGAUUCUCACAAGAUAAGAUGAUACUGUUUUUCUAAUAAGUGUUGGUAUUUCGAUAAUUCUCACAAGAUAAUUGGAAAUGUUGACAAGAUAAUACUGUAUUUACACAAGAUAAGAUAAUACUAUUUUCUCACAAGUGUUGGUAUUUCGAUAAUUCUCACAAGAUAAUUGGAAAUGUUAAUAAGAUAAUACCGUAUUUUCGCAAGAUUUCGAAUUUUGACUAUCGUCACAAGAUAAUUCGAAAUUUUUAUAAGAUAAUUCAGUAUUCUCCCAUUCUAACGUUACGUAUAUACAAGCGUUGAUAUGUAGACUAUUUUCACAAGAUAAUUCGGGAUCUUUACAAGAUGAUACUGUUUACUCACAAGUGUUGGUAUUUCGAUUAUUCUCACAAGAUAAUUCGACAUUCAUACAAGAAAAUACCGUAUUCUCACAGUCUAACAGUUCGUAUGUACAAACGUUUGUGUUUAAAAUAUUCUCACAAGAUGAUUCUCACAAGAAUAUUCGAGAUUCUCAUUUGGGAAAUACCGUAUUCUCACUGUUUAACAUUGCGUAUGUACGAGUGUCGGUUGAUAUGUGCUUAUGUUUGUUUAAUUAAUAAUUAUGUUUAUAUGUUCAUACGUAUUCUCUUAUAUGAUCAUUGGGGUUUGUAUAAAAGAUAUGGAAAGACGUAUGAUCAUUGCGAUUUAUACAAAAGGUAGUAUUUGAUUCGUUUUAAAAUACUUUACGUACUUUAUAUACACACAAUGACACCUGCGUAGAAGAUUUGGGAUUUGGGAUUAAGAUUAGUAUUUAUGAAAUAAAAAUGUUUACGUUAUUUUUUAUAUUAUAUGGUCGUCACAGGAUUUUUAUUUUAAUUAGUCGAUCAGCCACUGCUUUAGGCCUCGUGCAUUUCUGUUUGGGUUGGACGUUGGGAUUUGGGAGUUUUAUAUCUUAAAUAUAAUUUAAAUUUUAAAAUUUAUUUUCUAAUAUCUUUAAGUUUUUAUUACGGGACAAACUCAACUUAGGAGACAAGCCAACAACGGCUUAAUCGAGGCUUUAGCAAAAGUUAAAACCUGCGUGUACUCACGUCCUUACUCACUGUCCAUGACCCUACUUAUCCCCUCGUUAACUCUCCGUUAGAGGAUGGUUACCUCUCUCCGCUCCCGCUCUCUGUGGAAGCUCUGCCGAAACCUGUGCUCUACACACCUUGCUCACGACGGAUUGAAAACGGGCUACCUCAACUCACGGGACGGUCACUCUCGCUCUCUUUCUCUCUCCCUUCUCGCGCUCUAGUUCUCUCUCCGCUCCCUCACUCUCUCUCUCGCUCUUUGCCUCUCUCGCUCUUAUUCCACACGCCCUCUCUCUCUCUCUCUACACAUGAUCUUCCCAUAUCGAAAUCCUUCUUUAUUUUUCCCCUCACUUCAAUCGACGAUGAUGACACGAUCACGGGAUUAUAGUCGGCAACCUAGUAUGCCCACAUCCUACAUGUGGAAAGAUUUCAUCAGACCGAUCUCAAAAGGAUAAAAUAUCAAUAUAUUAAAUAAAUUAAAUAUAAAAAUAUAUAUUUAUUUAUUAAUAUAUAUUAUAUAUAAAAAUAAUAAAUUAAAAAUCGUUUUAUUUUUAUAUUUACGCUCGAAUUAAUAAUUUUUUAUGUACAUUUCAAAGUUAAUAAUCUAGUUUCAGAUUACCUAUUCUAAAAUAUUUAAAUAAAAAAUAUAUAUAAAUUAGAUUAAAAAAAAUUAAAUAACAAGCAACCGGUCGAGCACUCGGUCGACCAUAAGCCGAGCAAUUAUUUGCUCAACUUGUGCUCGAUUUAAAAAGCCGAGCUAUGAAAUUGUUCGAUUAAGCACAAGAUGAGCAAAUUAUUUGCUCGGCUUGUUUUCGGUUGGGUCGGGCGAGCACAAGCAGAGCAAAUGUGGGGAUGGACGUUCCGACGUUGCGACGACCAGCAACCGAGCCCUGUAAUCUUGUUCGUCGUCAAAGGGGCUUCUGGUGAACGUUUCAGAUUUCGGGUGCAUUUUGGGGGGUGUUCAUUUGGGGAGCUAGGUCAGGAGGGAGCUAGAGAAGGUUACGGCGGGUGAGAGGGAGAAGUGGCGGCGGCGGAGGAGGAGGGCAGGGUGGUGAUGCCACUGGUUUAGGCGUGGAAGCAGCUGCGGGCGCACUUCACCCACGCCCUGGCGCGGGAGCUGGUGCGGCACCUCUUCCUUUUCGUGGAGGUUGGGAAGGUGCGGGAGUUUCUGGAGGAGGAGGAGAGGCGGCGUAGGAGGAGAGGAAGAGGAAGAGGCAGAGGCAGGGAGGGGGAGAGGAGGCAGCGGCGCGCGGCGAGGCUAGAGGCGGAGGGGAAGGCGCGGUAGGCGAAGUAGGCGGAGAAGGGGAGGCGGAAGGAGCUUCUGGAGGGGAGCAGCAGCAGCAGGAGGAGAGCAGGGGUGGGGCAGUAGGCGGUUUUAUAAAACAUUAUGUAAAAUUUGAUACAAAAUGUCACGCCCCGGGACCGGCGGAGGCCCUCCCGGUAGCGUGCCCAGACCCGCCAUAUGUCUACACAUAUAAGGCGUCUACAAUAAAAGCGGAAGUAAAAGCAAGUAAUAGAACAAAUAGAAGAAGUGAAAUAAUGAGCAGCUAAUGAUAUCAGAGCGAGUAAAGUUCUAACAUCUACACCAAGGUAAAAAAGAAUAAAGCUAGACAAUAAAAGAAAUCAUAAGUAGUACAAUAUCUGUCCCAAAAGUACAAAAACGGUGGUCUCUAAUACACUGGUAGAACUCUCAACCUCUCGCAAAAGGAACAAAAAAUCGAGAGGUAGACCACCUAGCAACUCGUCCUCGAAGGAAGCUAGCUCGAAGCAACUCCCUUCCCGCGAUUCCUGGCCUCACCCUGAGUGGAAGGCUCUGAAAAACAUCGAGAAAAAGAGGGCAUGAGAACUAUAAUUUAUAAUUCCCAGUGGGCAAUUACUGACCUCAGCUCAAUGCACCACUAGGCCCCAAAAGAAGAGGGUAAGUACAAUAAUAAUAGCAAUAAAUAGCGAACACGAAACUGCUGAAGGAAGCAUGAAUGAAAUGCUAUGCUACUAUGUCUCCAAUAAGCAUGAUGUUAUGGUAAUGUACAUCUACGCUAUCAUAAGGUAAUAUAUAUCCGAUGCAUACUAAUAUGUCUCAACAUAAAAAGCAAGUAAACCUCACGAUGCCAUAUGUCAAUGCAUAAGGGUAAACUUUAUCCAAACAACCGAGUAUGCUACGAUGCGAUAAUGAAACCGGCAAGUAUACUAAAUGUACCAAUGCUAUAUCAUAAGCGUGUCCAAGUAAUCCAACUACUAAUCCUAUCUAGUAGUGAUUGUUCAUAUUCAACACCGUGUCGAUUUCCAUUUCCAAUUAAGGACCUACCAAAGGUAGUCCAGCUUGUGCCGCCUAAGUGCCUGUGGUAGCCCGACAUUCCUACUCUUGGAAUGUGUCUGUCCCACUCGGCCCCGUAGGCUUCUCAAUACCGCACGAGCGAACGUAGUCGCGUAGGCUAACUCCGGAGUGCCGGCUUGUAGGGAGCGACCCUCACAAGCAUGUGCGAAUGAGCACAAAUGGCAAGCAAGCAUGGUCCAAGUCUCAAGUAUCCAAUUCUCAUGUCUCUAACAUGGUAUAGUCACUAGCAUCCCGAAGACCUAGUUUAAGUCACAAUGUGAAAUUUCAACAUUUGCUACGCCUAGUGCCCCUUGAUGACACUUAGGCAAUUUGAUGUUCGACAUGUUUUCCAAAUCCCUCAAUGGCCCUAUCCACUAAAUUCACACAAGUCCUGAGCUCAAUGCCGCUUGAUGACAUUAGCUCUCCAAUUCACAUGAUAUCAAGUUCGAUGCCUACAUAUGAAGCAAUUGUCAUCUUUCAUGUCUCAAUUAAACUUAUGUUUAAACGCAUGAAUCAUAGCUCAUUUACUCUCUAGAACCAUGAAAUCAAACCCCAUAUAGAAUGCUAAAUGCAACCCAAGAUCUCCCAAACAACUCUCUACUACAUAGAGGUCCAAAGAUACAUCAUAUAUAACAUAUGCAUUUUAAGCAUUCUAAAAAUCAUAAUAAAUACAUUUAAUAUGAAAAUGCAUGAAUUAAUUAGUAACAAAGCACUUAUCACCAAAUAUGAGAUUUUCUCAUAUCAAAGGCUAGGUCAAACCCACCGACGACAACGAAGCUUUUCGUUUGCUCCAACGGAGGUUUCCACAAGCUUUCUAGCACCCUAAGAACAUCAAAAAGGGUGUCAUCCAAUCGAUACGAAGAGUAAUAAGCUCGAUCUUUAACCUAGGAGCAAAAAGGGUCAAACUCACCUCAAGAGUAGAAAUCUUCUCUUAAGCUCCAAAAGAGAGCUAGGGUUCAACCAAUCCAAGCCCAAGGAAGGUUCUAAACCCACCAAUCUAGUCUCUAAAGCCCUAGAAUCAAAAUCCCCAAAAAUAAACCCUAAGUAUCAAAUCUAGGGUUCCAACUCAAAAUUUAGCAAAAACAUGGAUCAAAGGCUCAAAUCAUGUUGCUAACCUCUCUAGAAGCUUGAGUAUUCUAUAGUGUCACCUAAAUAGCUUGGNUAAUAGAGAUGCCACAAUUGCGAAAAACCCCCUGCAGUUCAAACUGCUCAGAUUCUGCCAAAGUGUACCGGUACACGGGAAAGUGUACCGGUACACAUCCUACGAAAACGCAAACCCGAGGCUCGGGUUCGUAAUUUGCCACAAGUGUACCGGUACAACCAUCAAGCGUGUACCGGUACAAAGUGUGUACCGGUACGGCCAUCAAGAGUGCACCGGUACAUCUUGUGCAGAAUGCAAUCCGAGGGUAGGCUAAGUCCAACUUUUUUUGUGACCUUAGCGCUACAUAAAAUACUACAAUUCUCGGGACACGAGCCAUAGGUUGGAACACUGUCAACGACCCACCAGGAAGUCUGGAAAGACUCGGGACACUGUCCAAACACUCGAACCCCGCAAUUUGCAAAAGUCCAGUGCGUCACACAAAAAAUGUCUAAUAGUUCAACAUACAAAGUAAAUGCAUGAAAUACGAUAUUAUAAUAUUAAAAAAAUUAAAAAAAGCGACUCUACGAGGAAGUGAAAAAGAUGUAGAGAAAUUAUAGUAGUAUUUUGCUGGUUUUGUUUUGUGGGCCCAAUAAUCUAAAUUUUAUAUACAUAUAAUUAAAAUACAUAAUAUAUAUUAUUUUAUAUAAUUAAAAUAUAUAUUAUAUAUAAUUAUACUUUUAUGAGUAUAGACUCCUUUAUACUCAUAAGUUUUCGACCAUUAGAUCUAUUCUUUUGACUAUUUUCAUCCGUUUAAUCAUACUAUUCAAUGAACCACCCACUCAAUCCUAGGGGACCACUAUCAUCCUAAUCGCACAUCCAACGGCUAAAAAUUUAAAAUAUAAAGGGGUCUAUACUUAUAAGAGUAUAGUAGCCCGAGCCUAUAUAUAUAUAGAAUAGGCUACUAUAGUAUUAAUAGUACAAACCGCCUGCUAUUAGGUUUUCGGCCCUUUGAUGAAGGGAUGUGCGGUCAGGAUGAUAGUAGCCCCCUAGGAUUGAGUACGUAGGUGGCUAGUUGAAUAGUAUGAUCUAACGAAUGAAAAUGGCUAAAGAGAUAGAUCUAACGGCAGAAAACUCGAUAGCACCAAAUGCUUGAUACUAUCGAUAAUGUAGUAGCCGGACUCUAUAUAUAUGUAGUCAGAUCUAACGAUAGAAAACUCAAUAGUACAAAGUGCUUAGUACUAUUGAUAGUAUGGAUAGUAUAGUAGCCGGACUAUAUAUAUAGAGAGAGAGAGUCUGGCUACUAUAUUAUCGAUAGUACCAAAUGCUUGGUGCUAUCGAAUUUUAUGCCAUUAGAUCUAUCUUUUUGGCCAUUUCCAUCCAUUAGAUCAUAUUAUUCAACUAAUCACCCACUCAACCCUAGGGGAUCACUGUCAUUCUAACCGUACAUCCCUUCAUCCAAGGGCCGAAAACCUAAAAGCAAGUGGUUAGUACUAUUAAUAGUAUAGUAGACUAAUUUUAUAUAUAUAUAUAUAUAUAGAACUAGGCUACUAUACUAUCGGUAGCACGGAGGCCUCCGUGCUACCAAGUUGUUUUCAAUGAUGUGGCUUCCAAAUCGACGAUCGGCUCCGUUAGACUUGAUCUACACUAUUAAAAGUAUUUAGAAACUAAAUUUCAUAAUUUUUCGAUAUCAUUUACCUAUCAAACAAGUAGUCUAAAAUUGAACGGCUGAAAAUAAAAAUCUCAUAAAAAAUAAAGAUAAAAGAUUUAAAUUCAAGAUCAGAUAUACUGAUCUUACUCUAAAUAGUGAAAAGAAUUUUCUAUAAAAUUUUCAUCGUAUUUGGAUUGUUUUACACUGUUAAACUCACAAACACACCACAUCGGCCAUUAAAAUUGUCAAUUUUUAGAUCUUUUGAUCACUAGUCAAAUGAUGUCGAAAAAAUCUAAAAUUUAGUUCCAAAUACUUUCAAUAGUGUAGAUCAAGUCUAACGGAGUCGAUCGUCGAUUUGGAAGCCACAUCAUCGAAAAUAACUUGGUAGUACGGAGCCUUCCGUGCUACCGAUAGAUAUAUAUAUAUAUAUAUAUAUAUAUAUAUAUAUAUAUAUAAAACUAGGCUGGAAUACUAUCAAUAGCACCAAGCUAUUGAUGCUAUUAAUUUUUUAGCCCUUGGAAUGAGAAAUGUGUGGUUAGGAUGAUGUGGGCCCUCUAGGGUUGAGUGAGUGGUUGGUUGAAUAGUAUAAUCUAACGGAUAAAAAUAAUCAAAUGGUUAAAUCUAACGGUGGAAAACUAUAAUAUCCGAGAUUUUGAUAGUGUAGCUAAACCCUUUGUUGACGAUAUUUUUGUGUGUAAUGUAGUUACAUAACCACUCGUCAAGUUUCAGGGAAAAACGAGUUAGAUGGAGAAGUUACGCAACCGAUACUAAUCACUUAAAGUGAAUAGUAACUCCGGUUUUCUAGAGAAGCCAAUGAGUGGAGAAGGCUUUUGGUGUGUAUUGGACUCCGUUCAUAGUGAUCCAAUAGCUCGUUUUCGAUGGUUUGACUAUCCUGGACCCAAUGGCACUGACAGAUUUGGAUUCUGAUGCACGAUUUUCGAGAAAAAGAGUUUUAUUGGAUCUAUUUGUAUAGGUAUGGUUUUUGGAGAUUGGAGAGGGUUGGUUAUGUCGCAAUCGGUGAUCGAAUCGGACGAAACGAAAUCGUAGAUUCGAUGCCCCAGUCAUGCUGAGCGCGCUGGCGUGAUUCGUUUGGAAAUCCGACGGACGGAUCUGCGAGGAACGUGAAAAGUUCAUUGAGGGGUCGAAUUGGUAAAAAUGAAAAAUUCGUGAAAAGUCUAAUAUUUUAUGCGCCGUUUUGCGUGAAUUCGAACGUCGAGGGGCUCGUGUGCAAAAUACACGUACUGGCAGGGGACUUAGCUGUAAACGAUCAGCCUUGGGUGGACUUUUCUGCAAUUAUGCACAUAGUAUAUAAAGUGCAUCUAGGGUUUCCUUGCAUGAAACCCUAGAUUGAUUCCACCCUGAUCCCCCAGCUAACCCUAGCCAUCGCAGCACCCACCCACCUUGCUCGUGUGCACGCCCCUACCGUCGGCGGGCACCCCCGGUCACUGGAAAAGCCACGCCGACCUCCCUCUUCGCUCCUCCCUCUACCGUGCCUCCACCACUUCGGCCGUGAAGCUCAGGAGAACACCCCCUUGAGUCAAGUCUGAGUUCUCUGGCCAAGUCUUCCCCUCCGGCGUCAUCCUCGCCGGCUCCCGCCCUCCGCGUGCGCCGCUGGCGCCGCUAGGACUCGCUGCGGCCGCCCAGACCCAGAGCAGGCCGAGCCGAGAUCACCCUGGCCUCGGUGCGUUGCCUCUACCUAUGAUCGGUGGGGCCGGCCUCCGACAAUCUCCGGCAACACUCUGCUCGCCGUCCCGUCGUCCCGAAGCGCCGCCGGCCGCCCUCAGUGCUCCCUGCGGCCGCCCAGACUCAGUGCGGGCCGAGGCUGAGUCACCUCGGCCACCGCGUGUCGCUGCCGCCCAACGUCGACCACACCGCACUCCCUCGGUCGCCUUCGCCCUGAAGCUCCUCCGGCCGCCACUGCCUUCCCGAACCCGAAUUGAGCUGUUCGAGCUCGUGCUUUGCCCCCGCGCCAUUGGCCGCCUCCCGCAACCGGCCAGCACGCGCCCAACUCCUCUCCGACUGGCCGCGACCUCCCCCUGCCGGAGCGCCCGCCGUCCGGCCACCGCCGGUCACCCUCGGGCUCCUGCUUGCUCCAGUAAGUCUUUAACAGUAUUCUGCACUUUAUUUCGGGUUCCGGUCGCCUUUCCGCCGAUCCGAAGGCACCCCGAUAAUUCUGGAACUGAGCACGACGAUCUCUGAUCCGUGCUGAACAUCGUGCUCACCUCCGUUGGGGUCAGCGAUAACCCGGUUUGCAAGUUAGAUGCGAUUUAGGCGUUGUGCGCGCUGUUUCGCUGAAGUUCGCGUCGCUCGUACGCUUGCCUCAAUGGCCGGCAGUGCUCCGAAGCAUGAGCAUGGCCUCCGGUACGCCGAGACCUAUUAGCGGAUGUCUUGGCCUGGCUGAAUGACCCUCAGUUUGCACUGUCGGGUCAUAAAAGCCCGAAAAUCACAUAAAGUAAUGUGAUAUUAUGGGAUCGGGAGGGUUUUUACGCAAUUGUGCUUUUUGUGGUCGCUGUUGGCAGUGUGUGCGGGCAGUGGGUGACCUUUGGACUGAUUGUCCAAGACUCUAGGCCUUUUUAGAGAUCGAAAAUUGAUUUCCGGUGCGUUCUUUGGUGAAAUCCGCCGACGGAAUACGUUUUCGGUUCGGAAUUCUUCCGACGGUGCCUCGUGAUAAUUUGUGUCGUCGCUGAGCCUUGUUGGCUGGUUACCCGCUUCGUUUCGAGGGUUCGAAAACGACGGGUGAGUGACGGUGGGUUCCGGUGUCGAAUUGGACAUUUCCGGGAACCCGGAUCGGAGCGAUUAUCCAAUGAUAAUCGUUUCGGGGUGAGUUAGUGUAUUUGCUGCCAAGUCACAUGAACAUAUGUGUUUAGUGGCAGCGGGUGACUCAUAACAUGAGUCGGUGAAUUCUGGGACAGUUCGUGGGUCCCGGCGGAGUCUCGGUGCGGUUUCGGGACUUCCGGCGUGUUCGGCAAUCGGUUUUGGGAAACCGAUUCCGUAGGUUCGUUGGUGGGAUUGGUUUCGAGCUAGCUCUUCAGCAAGGGACAAGUUGCUAGGUGGUCUACCUCUCGAUGUAUUUUAUUUUGGGAGAGGUUGAGAGCUGUACCAGUGUACUAGAGACCACCCUUUGUGUACUUUUGGGACAGAUAUUGUACUAUCUUAUGGUUUACUUUUAUUGUUUAGUUGUAUCCUUUUACUUUUGUUAUAGAAAGUAGAAUCUUACUGCUCUGAUAUCAUUAGUUUUUGCUCUUUCCUUUCGGCUAUGUUUCUUGCUUUAUUUUCGCUGUUGAUGUAGACGCCUUAUAUGUGUUGGCAUAUGGCGGGUUUGGGCACACUACCGGGAGGGCCUCUGCCGGUCCCGGGGCGUGACAGAUUAGUUUGGUAUUAGAGACUAGGGUUGAGUCUUAGUGGACCUAGCAAACCUUAGGCCGGUUGGACUAUAGGAAUUAGGCUCGUGAGAGACGAGGUCUAAUUGACUUGUGCGCGAAAGUAUUAUGAUUGGGUUUUAUGACAACUCUAAAAAGUUAGAGUUUGAUCGAAGUGUAUGGCUUCUAACUUCGCGGAGGGUUACGUUGGCGGCUGAUAACGUAACAUCGGGAGUUAGUAGUGGAGGACACUUCCUUACUUUCGCACGAUUUGGGUUUUAUCUAUUUGAGCGGGGAUGCGGUAGCGUGGGUUACUAACUUGCGCUUUUAUGUUUUGUAGUGACGAUGCCGAUUACACGCUCCCAGUCUGCCGGAGCGGAUGAUGCAGCACACCCCGAGGAGGCCGAGACCUCCGCUACUUCCGGAUCUAGUGAGGUCCGUGACUUAAGGUCCCAGCUUGCAGUCCUCACCGAUCUGUUGGCACAGCAGGCGGCAGCGACGCAGCGACAGGCUGAGGUGGCUCAGCGGCAGGAGGCGCGGAUGAAGCAUCUUGAGGACCUCCUACUUCAGCAGGCGGCAGCUUCGAGGGAGACCCAGGUUCCCACACCGCCAGCACCCGUGGUGGACGUCGCACCGAGGGCGCAGUCCCCCGCGCCCAGUUCUUCACGUGCGGCACCGGCGACCACACCUCUUGAGGAGGUGGCUGCGGCACCCCCAGUUC
Molecule: long non-coding RNA, 35483 nt
Filed under: Ananas comosus (pineapple)
Lineage: Eukaryota; Viridiplantae; Streptophyta; Magnoliopsida; Poales; Bromeliaceae
Description: long non-coding RNA (ACOM_LNC022313)
Source: RNAcentral